CAACAGGGAUUGCCUCAGUAACGGCGAGUGAAGCGGCAAAAGCUCAAAUUUGAAAUCUGGCACCUUCGGUGUCCGAGUUGUAAUUUGAAGAAGGUAACUUUGGAGUUGGCUCUUGUCUAUGUUCCUUGGAACAGGACGUCACAGAGGGUGAGAAUCCCGUGCGAUGAGAUGUCCAAUUCUAUGUAAAGUGCUUUCGAAGAGUCGAGUUGUUUGGGAAUGCAGCUCUAAGUGGGUGGUAAAUUCCAUCUAAAGCUAAAUAUUGGCGAGAGACCGAUAGCGAACAAGUACAGUGAUGGAAAGAUGAAAAGAACUUUGAAAAGAGAGUGAAAAAGUACGUGAAAUUGUUGAAAGGGAAGGGCUUGAGAUCAGACUUGGUAUUUUGCAAGCCUUACCCUCGUGGUGGGGUCCCCUGCAGUUUACUGGGCCAGCAUCGGUUUGGAUGGUGGGAUAAUGACAUUGGAAUGUGGCUCUGCUUCGGUAGAGUGUUAUAGACUUUGUUGAUACCACCUGUCUAGACCGAGGACUGCGUCUUUGACUAGGAUGUUGGCAUAA
RNAcentral lists this ribosomal RNA (552 nucleotides) under Schwanniomyces yamadae. RNAcentral describes it as "LSU rRNA". It matches the Rfam family "Eukaryotic large subunit ribosomal RNA", at positions 66 to 634 of the family's 3401-position model. The record is from RNAcentral. Lineage: Eukaryota; Fungi; Ascomycota; Pichiomycetes; Serinales; Debaryomycetaceae.